Molecule: ribosomal RNA, 492 nt
Filed under: uncultured bacterium
Lineage: Bacteria
Description: partial 16S ribosomal RNA
Rfam family: Bacterial small subunit ribosomal RNA
Source: RNAcentral
AGUGAACGCUGGCGGUAGGCCUAACACAUGCAAGUCGAACGGCAGCACAGUAAGAGCUUGCUCUUACGGGUGGCGAGUGGCGGACGGGUGAGGAAUACAUCGGAAUCUACUUUUUCGUGGGGGAUAACGUAGGGAAACUUAUGCUAAUACCGCAUACGACCUACGGGUGAAAGCAGGGGAUCUUCGGACCUUGCGCGAUUGAAUGAGCCGAUGUCGGAUUAGCUAGUUGGCGGGGUAAAGGCCCACCAAGGCGACGAUCCGUAGCUGGUCUGAGAGGAUGAUCAGCCACGCUGGAACUGAGACACGGUCCAGACUCCUACGGGAGGCAGCAGUGGGGAAUAUUGGACAAUGGGCGCAAGCCUGAUCCAGCCAUACCGCGUGGGUGAAGAAGGCCUUCGGGUUGUAAAGCCCUUUUGUUGGGAAAGAAAAGCAGCAGGUUAAUACCCCGCUGUUCUGACGGUACCCAAAGAAUAAGCACCGGCUAACUUCGUG